GCUGCUUGCUGUCUGAGAACGAAGAGCAUUAACCCUGGCUUCCCUCCAGCCUCCAGCACUUGCACUUCAGACAUCAUUCAUCCUCUAUCCCAGGAGAAAUUCCAUGCCGUGCAAUUUGGGGCAGGCUGUUGUGGGAAAUGGGGAGCAGAGCAUCGCAGGAGCGGCGGGGCGGACAAGGCUCCUCCCCUCCACCAGGAUCCUGUGCUGUGUCCGGCACCCCUUGCUUUGUCUGGCUGUCUUUGCUCGGGUGUCCUGUGGACAGGAGGUGCACAGAAGCGAGCGAAACAGGACACUGCUCCUCUAAACUCCAGACAGCUUUGCAACGAAAAUGUUGCAGACUUGGAGGCUUGGCUGAUUUGGAGAAGGCUCCAGAGACUUCUACACUGUAAACUCCUGGGCAGAAGGCUGUGGAUGAAAUACUGCCGCACCUGGGGCUUUUUCAGACAUCAGCCCGUGCUACAGGAGAGAGAACAAAAGUUUCAAGCCACAUUAAAUGCUGCUGCUAGCUGGACUACAUUACCCUGUGUGAUCUCUCCAUGGUUUCACUCAAAACAAGGCUGCUUUACCAUUUUCUUUCAAAAUCUGUGAGAAGUUGCAGCUUUUCCCAGCUGGGCAGCCUUCUAAUUGCCUGUGUAAGUGGAAAGUCAGAUGCCCAAUCCACAUCCCAGCAAAGGUGAUAAUCAGGGAGCUCCUCUGGCUUUGGCUGGCAACAGCUGCAGUCUGGGAAAGGGGAACCCAGGACAAAUGGGGGGUGGGGAGGUGACGGGAGUGGCAGGGAGUGUGACAGAGAUCCUGCAGGACUUUGAAGUUUUUAGGGGACUUGGUGCUCCUCUGUCCACUCCUGGAGCAGGUGUAGGAGAGCAGUGCGAACAACAUCAGCACAUUUCAGAGUAAAAUAGAGUAAAAAGCUCAUCAUGGCUGCUGCCUCUGGCCUGUGCUCUGGAGAUGCUUGGGCACUCCAGGCAAGAAAGAUUUUUUAACCAUGGCAGGAGAUAAUAGAUUAUCUGGAGAUGCUGGACCCUGGAAAGUCAUGUGAACAAUCCACAGCUCUCAGUAUUCUUUUUUAGAUAACUCUUAAGUCAGGGUGGGUUUUUGUUUGCUUUUUCCAAGCUAUUUAUUAAUUUUGUUUUAAAGCUUUCCUAAAGUUUAUUUAUGGGUUUUCUACAUUUUCCUUCUGAUUUUACUCAUGACGAUUUUGCCUCUUUGGAAGCCUGGGAUGCCUCUAUCCCCUUUGAAAACCUGUUUUCUGGUUGCUGGAAAUGAAUGCAAUCGGUUCAUAAUUAUUACUUCCCAGGUGACCACCAACUUCCUGCCCAGUGGUCUCUUGGGUGGUGCCAGGUGAUUACCAGAUGCUGGGUACAGCAUCUCACUGGCCAUAAAGUGCCAUCUAUUGCCACCAGACCUCAGAGAAUUGUUUAAGUUGAAAAAAACCUCCGGGAUUAUGGAGUCCAAGCAUUAAAACAGCACUGCCAAGCCCUCCACUAAACCAUGGCCAAAUCUACCCAGCUUUGAAGUAACUCUAGGGAUGGUGAUUCAAUCACCUCCCUGGGCAGCCCAUUCAUAUCUUCACUGAGAUGUGCAAUAUUCCCAGCAGAUGUUUCACAAGCUGGC
Long non-coding RNA from Parus major (Great Tit), 1611 nucleotides. The record is from Ensembl. Lineage: Eukaryota; Metazoa; Chordata; Aves; Passeriformes; Paridae.